UGCAAGGGAGGAGGGGGCUGCAGUGUUUGGAGGCACUCUUCACGGGUAUUCUGGUCACUGGAAUCCGAAGAGGCAAAGACUAACCUUGUACAACUGCUGUCCUUUUAACUUCUCUCUCUCUCUCUCCCUCUAAUCCUUAGCUGGAGAACUGUAACUGACAACGCCAUCCUUGCAUGUAAUGUCAUAUGUUUCAGCCUCAACAUGAGAGAGAGAGAGAGAGCAGAGCAGUCUGAUAAGAGUGCAACUCAGUAGCAGCAGCAGAUUUGAUUCCAUGGAGAUUUAUGCCCACAAAGACAUCACACUGGCUGUGUCUCCUCCAAUUCGGCAGUGGAUUUAAGGCAGCUCAUGAGGGCGUUGUGGAUCCUUUAGGUUACUGGACGGUGGUUUGUUUGUCUGUAAAGAGAGGGAGAGGGAGCAGCUGAAGACAAAAGGUGGCGGACAGGAACAGUUUUGUUCUUUUGCAGUACAGACUGUAAUGAUUUUUUCCCUCUCUCUCU
This 497-nucleotide long non-coding RNA is filed under the name Musa acuminata (dwarf banana). RNAcentral describes it as "long non-coding RNA (MACU_LNC000689)". Lineage: Eukaryota; Viridiplantae; Streptophyta; Magnoliopsida; Zingiberales; Musaceae. The record is from RNAcentral.